RNAcentral lists this long non-coding RNA (954 nucleotides) under Lactuca sativa (garden lettuce). RNAcentral's name for it is "long non-coding RNA (LSAT_LNC008909)". Lineage: Eukaryota; Viridiplantae; Streptophyta; Magnoliopsida; Asterales; Asteraceae. The record is from RNAcentral.
UCACAGAAAAUCUACCCAGUUAUAGCAAUGUGUUCCAAAUACAAAGCAAUUUUCAUUGCUUAUAACAGGGUAGAGUUUCAAAGUAAAAUGUCCUAUUAAAAUUAUUUCUUGAUGAAAAAGAAAAAUCUCGAAAAAAAACCAAAAAGAAAAAGAAACAACGAAGACGAAGACGAAGACGUUCUUCACCUUCCUAAUCCAAUGAUAGGAUUCGGGGUCCCACACGAACCAUUUCGGAAUGUUCACAGAACGCUUCCCGAUGCAGCCAUUGGGCCUCCGUAUUUUUACUAUGAAAAUGUUGCACUUACACCGAAAGGUGUUUGGAAUACAAUCAAACGUUUCUUAUACGAAAUCGAACCCGAAUUUGUGGAUUCAAAAUUCUUCUGUGCAGCAGCUAGAAAACGAGGUUACAUCCACAACCUUCCGUUAACAAACAGAUCCCCAAUUCAACCGCUUCCCCCUCGCACGAUUUUCGAAGCUCUCCCUGGAACUAAAAAAUGGUGGCCUUCAUGGGACAAAAGAGAACAAUUGAAUUGCAUACUUACAUGUAUAGGAAGUGCCCAACUUACGGAUCGGAUCAGAUUAGCCCUAGAAAAUUCGAAUUCGAAUUCCAAAAGUGAGUGCGAGCCUUCGGAGCAAGUGAAGAAAUUCGUUAUCAAUCAGUGCAAGAAAUGGAACAUGGUUUGGACAGGGAAGACGAAGGUGGCGCCACUUGAGCCUGAUGAGAUUGAGUUAAUCAUGGGGUACCCUAUCUACCAUACAAGAGGUGCAAGCAGAGCCGAAAGAUACAAAGGCCUCGGGAAUGCAUUUCAGGUUAAAAUGUUUUAAAAUUAUAAUUUGAGAAAUCUACAAAUUUAGCCUAAUUUCUGAAAUCAUUUGUCAAGAAAUAACUAAAAAAUUUAAGAAAUGACCCAAAUAGCCAAUGAAAUGGUUCACGUGCGGUGGUUUUGUCAUUUG